Molecule: ribosomal RNA, 253 nt
Filed under: uncultured bacterium
Lineage: Bacteria
Description: partial 16S ribosomal RNA
Rfam family: Bacterial small subunit ribosomal RNA
Source: RNAcentral
UACGUAGGGUGCGAGCGUUGUCCGGAAUUAUUGGGCGUAAAGGGCUCGUAGGCGGUCUGUCGCGUCGAAAGUGAAAACCCAGGGCUUAACCCUGGGCCUGCUUCCGAUACGGGCAGACUAGAGGUAUGCAGGGGAGAACGGAAUUCCUGGUGUAGCGGUGAAAUGCGCAGAUAUCAGGAGGAACACCGGUGGCGAAGGCGGUUCUCUGGGCAUUACCUGACGCUGAGGAGCGAAAGUGUGGGGAGCGAACAGG